This is a long non-coding RNA of Pogoniulus pusillus (Red-fronted tinkerbird), 1228 nucleotides long. RefSeq lists it as uncharacterized. Lineage: Eukaryota; Metazoa; Chordata; Aves; Piciformes; Lybiidae. The record is from RefSeq and is a predicted model, not a curated record. The transcript is spliced from 2 exons.
GAACUUGCGGCAGCCGCGGCCCCCAGCACCGACCCCUCCCCGCGGGCGCUGCGGCGGCGCCGGGUGUAAGCACCUCCCGGCCCUGAGUCUGCCGGAGGGACCGGCCGCGGCAGCCCCGGCUCUGCCCGCCCGGGCGUGGCGUGCGGACCCGCGGUAACCGCCAGCUGCCGAUAACGACUGAAAAAAUCCUUGAGAAACAGCUCCCUGCUGACGGGAGAAAGUGGUCCGUGACCCCCCGGGCUCCCGCGGCUCCGUGCCAGGCAGCCGUGGCUCCUGGAGCGUUCCCCGCCCGCACGGAUGCAGGCUGGGGCUUGGGGGACCCGAGGCGAAACCCGGGUUUAUUGCGGCGUUUUGGUAAAGAGCUGCCCGAGGCCUCCCCGGCAAGGAGGGACGUGGAGCUUGCAGGGCUUUAUGUAAGGAACUUUGCCGUGCAUCAGGCCCGGCGCUUUCAGGGGACAUCAUCAUCAUCAUUAUGCAAGUCCUGGUGUUACAGGAUGGAAGCCUUUGGAGCAGGCUGCUCCGUUGGGAAGUAGAGGAGAAGAAGGUGAUCAAAGGUGGUGUCUGCUGAAGCACCAAGCAUCACACGCCGGGCUCCACCGGCAUUUCCGCUGCAGUUAGACCUGGCACGGGAAAGUUGGUACCUGCGAAGGACUACAGAUGGCUGCGGGCUGCCGAGGGUGUGUGGUCAAGAGAAUGCAGAGCCUCUGCAGCCAUCUCCCUCUGGCAGACGCGGGGCUUUUGGUGUCAGUAGCAGAACGCAGAUUUCUUUGGAUAACCUCAGUUUGUAAACCUGCUUGUUGCAGCCAUUCCUAGUUCUGGUAGCUGAUGGCAGCUCCUUCUCCCCUCUGCAGCCUAAGGACACUGAGCUCCUUGCCUUAUGCCUUUGCACGAAGCUGCCCCCUUCCAGCCGCCUCUCACCUCAGAGGCACUCAGCUCUGCCUUUGGAUGGGUGUUCGACGGAGGGAUGUGGUCACCAUUUUGUGAUCUGCAAGUCUCUGGCUAAGGCAGAGCUGAUUAAAAAGAUAAACCAGCUUUGCUGCCAAUUAACCCUGAGCGUGCUAACCAGCUCUCCUGCUGUCUCUGGAGGUCACUGUGCCUGUUGGCUCCGAAGAGUGAUGCAACAGUCACAACAAGCUCUGCUCAGUGCCAAUUACCUUUCUGCUUGUGUGUAAUUUGGGCAAAUUGAUGUUAUUGCACCCUGCAGUUAAGCAGAUGAAAUCCUCCUCUA